GUUAAGCAAAGUGGACAUGAGGGAGUUGAGGGUAGAGCAAGUUUUAGCCCAAUUGAUGAACCAUAGCAAUGGCUAUCAAUCACUUCAAAGAUCUUGGAGACCUGCACUUCAAAGUAUCCCUGAAGUGGAUUAAGCUUCAUUUAGAUUAAUUUAGGUGUAUGAAGUUGAGGAAGAUGAGUAUUGGCCUAUUAAAUUAGGUCAAUCUUUCUUUUUCCUUUCGUUGGAAAAAUUGGAUUGUCCAUUUGAGGUGGUUUAUGGCAUGUGUCCCCUUAGUGCACCAGACCUAACCCCUUGUUCUAGGUCUAAAAAAUAAGAGUAGUGAUAUUUGAACAACCAUUUUAAACAACUUUUGUGACAACUUCUUUUUUCUCACUUUUCAUUGGUCAAAAACAAUGGAGAAAGAAAAAAGAAGAGAGAGUAUAAAAAUAUAAAGUGAGUAUGAGAGAGAAAGUUGUCAAGAAGUUGUCACAAAGUGGUUGUACAAAUAUCAUUUCUCAAAAAAUAAAGCGUAGAUGUUCAACAGAAUGGAGAAACAGACAUUCAAAGGAGAAUUGAGAAACAAAAUUCAAAGUAUAAGACUCAUGAGACAGACAUUGCAAGUGACAUUCAUUCAAAGUAUAUGACUCAUGAGACAGACUUUGAAGAUGAGGAAAAUCUUGACUUAAAGACGAGUCUCUUCCAAUCAGGGGAGAACGAUUAAGAAUAAUACGGACUUUUCAAGAAAUAUAAAAACUUAAUUAUGGGACUUUCAAGUAACACCACUAGAUGAAUACAUGAUAAUAGUUAACAUGGUCUAUCACCCUAGAUGAAUACUUUCAAGUAACCCUGGGUCAAAUCUUUUAGCCAUUCAAAUUCUUGCUAACCCCGUCUACCAUAUAUGCUUCUUGUAGCAAUUUUCAUUAUGUUCCUGGAUGUACUAGGGAUUUUAUUUACAUUGAUUGUACUUAACAUGGUUAAACUUAAAAAAUGUUUAUGUUAAUACAUAGAAUUUAGAUUUUUGAAUUUAACAUAUAUAUGUUUUAUAGAUCUAUUAUUCAGAUGGAUUAUUAUCAAAUUGCAGACUUUUUUUUUUCUCCUUUUGAAAACCCUAAUGUUGAGUUUAUAUGUAGACAACUCAACGAGGUUGUCCAUACUUUGGAAAACUUGGUUCCUAAACUAACAUUUGUUAUUUUAGAGUCAUAAUAGAUCUAUAAAACAUAUAUUUGCAAGUCCCCUUGUUUUAUAUAAUGUUGCAAUUUAUAUUUUCACGUACUCUUGAGCAAAUUUACAUAUUUAUACAAAUAUUCAAUAAUGUAUACAACAUUUUAGAUUAUCUUGAAAAAGUUUACUAUAUAUAUAAUUUAAUGUUAGAUAUUUGCUCUGUGAAAUUAAAUAUGUUAUUUUGGAAAAUAUAUUUUGUACAUUGAAAUGAAGUUUUGUAACUGGAGCGCAAAUAGUUGAUGUGCAACUCGUGGGUGUUAUAAACAUCGAAUUGCGGCUAUGUCUGUAGCCUGUAGGCAGUCAAGUAAAAUAUGGCAAUUCAAAAUAGAAACAUUGACUAAUAAAGGAAACAUUCAAUUCAAAAAAUGUUUUGGCACAAAAUUUGAACCUUUUUUUUUUUAAGAAAGCAAGAACAAAUUGUUUAAAUUGUUAGUUGAUAAAAUUAAACAGUUGUCUUGGUUUAGUUUAUACGUUGGAAAUAAGUAAAUAAUUGAUUUUUUUUCUUCAAAUUUCUGGAAUAUUUGACUAUUUGCCAUAAAUCAUAUCACUACCCUAUUAAAUUAACCUUUAAAUAAUAUUUUUAACCGUGAUACUAGUCCUUAUAAGUUAAUAAAAAGACUAAAUUGUCUGAUGUUAAUCAAAAUUAGAGCUUUUUUUCUUACCAAAAAAUUAGAGCUUUUUUUCUCUAUUCACAAAUAUAAAGGGAGUAAAUGUCCAACCCUAUUCACAAAAUUUGAUCACUCUAUCAUUUCAUAUUUGAGUGUUGUUGUUUUUGUUAUUAGCAUUCAAAUAGGCACUCCAUGUGCAAUGGCAGAGCCAGGAUUAUUGUAAAGUCCGGGCAAAAAAAAAUUGCAACGCAUUUAUAGGAGUUUACAUAAGAAAUUGCAAGCAAAUAAUAAAAAAAUCUAAAGAAAUUUCCCAAUUUAUAGGGGUUUAUAUAAGAAAUUCAUAGGGAUUUACAUAAGAAAUUAAAAAAAUUUGGGCCGGAGCCCGGGCAAGUGCCCGGGGUCGCCGGCCAUAGAACCGCCCAUAUCCAUGUGUUUGUCCGCUCUUUUUAUUGCGUUAAUAGUAUGAACAAUAAUUAUUAUGUAAAUUUUGGUUUUGAUUAGAAAAUUUGUAUAAAUAUUUUGCACUUUUAUAUUUUGCACGUUCCUAAUUUCUAACUGUUGCAUGCAUUUUCCCAACCUUGACAUGGUGACAAAGUUAUUGUUGAUGAUCUAUUUAUAGAGUGAACAAAUUUUUACAAAAAAAAUAAUAUUAAAAUGUCAAAGUUACAUUGUAUAUGAACGCUCUGUAGUGUCAAUGUAACACUACCAAAAAAAAUUAACAUUAAAAGGAUGCAUUUUUAUUGAAUAGAUGAAUUUUGGAUGCAUAAUUUGUAUAUUUGGGAGAGAAAAGGUGAAUUUCGAAUUUUAAAUCCUAUUGAAUCUCAUCUUAUAAAAGCUCGUUAAAUGUCAUUUAUGACACAAUUAUGGAUGAUAAAAUGUUGUUGUGAUAUGAGAGAAGAAGGGAACAAGAUUUGUUUGUUAUUAUUAUGUAUUUUUAUUAAAUAAUAUUUUAUUUUUUUUUAAUUUAAAAUCUCAACCGUUAGAUACUUUUUUACCACACGUCUUUCAUCCAAACUCUAAAUGGAGUUUAGCCUAAAUGAAGCAUACUCGAACUCCCUUCAUAUAUUAUGAUGGAAUUCUGCUAUGGGUAACAACUGAGUUAUUUAGUAAGAAGUGAUGUUAGUCAUCAUGUAUUGUCAUGACAUGGGAGUUGUCCACAAAGUUACCAAGUCUGAGAAGUUGAAGGUUCCAAGAAUUGAAGAGGUAGUUGUGGGUUACGUUUUUGCAGUGGCGGAUCUUGAGUAAUUUUAUUGGGGGUGCCAAACCACCAUGAAAUAUAUCUAAAUCAGUUUCAAAAAAUAGAUAAAAAUAAUCACCUGCCGUAGUGGUUUAUAUCGUUUGAAAGCAUCAAGCGGAUGCAGGUUCGAAUCCCUGCUAACGGUUUUUUUGAAUAAAAAAUGUAAAUUCGAGAGAAAAAUGUCAAAAAAGAUGGCGCGAGUGUCGAACUCGCGACCGCUGGGGGGACCAUACAACUAGCUUACCGCUGUGACGAAUGAAAACUUGCUGAAAUAUUAUGCAUAAUAUGGUAUAUAUUAAAAACCCAGGGGAUGCCAUGGCACCCAUGGAUCUGUACUAAGAUCCGCCACUGCGUUUUUGCUAGCAACAAUACGUGUGAUUGUCAUACCCCAUUUUUUAACUUAAAUACCACUGACACGUACCUUGAUCUUGAAUAGUCUCUAAUUUUUGAAAGAAAAAUUCGACAGAGAAGUAUUUUAAAAUACCUCAUUUUUGUUCGGGCUCCCUUCUCACUUUUAUUAUUAUUAUUAGUCCUUUUAACUUUUUAUUUUAAUUCAUUUCCAUCUUUUUUUAUUAUUAUUCAUUAUCUUUAUUUUAUUUCACCUUUUUUUUAUUUAAUUUUAGUUUAUUCGUAUUUAUCUUUUUUUAUUUAUUUUUAUUUCCAAAACAGUCCAAAUCCAAAAAAUAUAGAUGUUUAUCUUUUUUAUUUAUUUAUUUUUAGAGGGGGAAUAUUUUGAUUCCGAAAGUAAGUUUGUUUACUUACUCCAAAUCUUGGAUUUUAAUUGUAUUGUCAAUUAAAGGUUUAGAUUGAUUAAUAAUAAAUGGUAUGGUAGACUAUAAUUUUCUUCUCUAAUGGGGAGUUACCUCUCAUUACCCCAAAAAUGACAAAACAAUUAAUGACUUUGAAUGGAUUGUUUUUUUUUUUUUUUUAUUGUUCUCUCUUUGCAUUUUUUUUACACGCAUAAUAAACUGCUUGGUCUUUCUUUUUGAAGGAAAAAAAAUUGUAUUUUUUUAGCAAAAAAAAAUGUAUAUUUUUCUGUAAGAAAAACGAAAAAUAAAGUUGUAUAUAGUUGUGUAGAGGAAAAAAAAACUACCACAUAUGGAUAAGAGGACAUAUAUUGUUUGCUUUCUUCAUUGUAUAUAUAAAAAAAAAUAUCACAUGUUUUCUUCACUACAAAAUUUAGGAUUAUCAGAAAUAUGUGUGUUUACGAAAUGAUAUUGAUACAUACAAUUACAUUAUAUUAAUUUAUUUAUUUCAAAUUAUUAGCACUAAGGACUUGUAUGUAUCCCCCCUCUCUUUAUAUAGUUUUUAUUUUUCCUUUAAAAAAAUACACUUUUUUUCCUUCAAAAAGAAAAACUAUGCAGUUUAUCAUGCGUGUUGAAAAAAAAAGCAAAGGGAAAAGAAUAAAAAAAAAAUCAAUUCAAAGUCAUUGAAUGUUUUGCCAUUUUAAGGUGAUGAAAGUUAAUUUCAAUAGAGAAGAAAAUUAUAGUCUACCAUACCACUUAUUAAUCAAUCCAAGCCAUUAAUUGAAAAUACAAUUAAAGACUAAGAUUUGGAGUAAGUGAACAAACUUACUCUUGAAGUCAAAAUAUUUCCCCUCUUAUUUUUUAUUUAUUUAUAUUAUUAGAUGAUAAGUCCAAAACAGUUCAAAUCCAAAAAUAUGCGACAGACGCACUUUCCUCCUCCCCAAGUCAAGGCAUACAGUUUUCUUUGUUUCUUUUAAACAAACCCUAAUCCCAAUCCUAUAAAAAGCAACCUGCAACAACACAAUUGGACAACCAGAAAACACACAAUUUUACCCAACAACACAAUUUUCACUGGCACAAAUAUUCCAAAAAACAUAAAACCCUAGCCACUGACGACCGCAAUUUUUCCCUAGCUUUUUCAGUUUCAGUUUUAUUUCUAGAGAACCCUAGCCACCGUCCACUUUUAGAAUUUCAGAAACCUAGCAACCGUAAUUUGCAUUAUAGUUUUGAACCGUACUUUCUAUUGAAUUCCGAAUUCAAUUCUAGUUUUCUCUUUUAUUUCGUUUGAUUCCUGCCGAACUGUUGGGCGGUUUCACAUGUCAACUCUGUGAUUGCCGUAUUCCAAUUCCACUUAUGAUUUUCAAUUCUAAUUUAUAUUAUUUUCAAUUUGCUUGCUGCUAUAUUAUUAUUAUAUAAUUCCAAACUCUAAUUUCCCUUUGUUUUUUCCUUUUCAUUCACGCUGCCAUUGCUAAUGCCAUAUAUCUAGUUUUGCUCGUAUUAUUAAUUACUGUUGCUGGCUUUUUGAUUAAAUUUCAAUUGCUAAGAAUUCAACACAGCCGUACCACAUAUACACACACACUACUGCGUGUGCAUUUAGAAAGCAACUACAUGGUCUCAUUCAGUUAAAGCCCAAAAACAAAUGUCAAGCCCUAACCCUAAACAAGCCUAUAAAUCUCAUACCCGAAACUAUAAUUUCCUUCACUGGUAGCGCCGUAGUUCUACAUUGCAGUGCUAUCUCAUGUCUUGAUGUUCCUAUUUUUAUGUUCUAAUUUGUGGUGCUAGGGUGUUAUCUUUUUUUUUUCUUUCUAUUGAAGAAGCAUGGUUUUUGCUUUAUACAUAACCCAGUGAUGUGAUCUCCCGAAAAUUGAUUUGAUACAGUAUGCAUGAUUUAUAAUCUGUGAUGAUUCAAGAAUGGAAUAUCCCAAUACACAACAGAUUGGUACUAGUUUGUUGGUUGACCGGAUUGAUUUCUUGUUCGGAACUGGAUUGUAUUUGUGAUUUGAAACGGGUCUCUUUGAGGGUAUUUCUCUUUUAUGAUGCUUUACAGAAUAUAAUUUAGGGUUAUGACUACUAUAUGUCACACCUUUGACAAAGUUUUGUUUCCUUGCUAUCUCGUGUCUUGAUAUUCCUAUUUUUAUGUUCUAAUUUGUGGUGCUAGGGUGUUUGCUUUUUUUUUUUUUCUUUUCUUUCUUUCGAAGAAGCAUGGUUUUUGCUUUAUACAUAACCCAGGGAUGAGAUCUCCCGAAAAUUGAUUUGAUACAGUAUGCAUGAUUUAUAAUCUGUGAUGAUUCAAGAAUGGAAUAUCCCAAUACACAACAGAUUGGUACUAGUUUGUUGGUUGACCGGAUUGAUUUCUUGUUCGGAACUGGAUUGUAUUUGUGAUUUGAAAUGGGUCUCUCUGAGGGUAUUUCUCUUUUAUGAUGCUUUACAGAAUAUAAUUUAGGGUUAUGACUACUAUAUGUCACAACUUUGACAAAGUUUUGUUUCCUUGCUAUCUCGUGUCUUGAUAUUCCUAUUUUUAUGUUCUAAUUUGUGGUGCUAGGGUGUUUGCUUUUUUUUUUUUUUUUUUCUUUCUUUCGAAGAAGCAUGGUUUUUGCUUUAUACAUAACCCAGGGAUGAGAUCUCCCGAAAAUUGAUUUGAUACCGUAUGCAUGAUUUAUAAUCGGUGACGAUUCAAGAAUGGAAUAUCCCAAUACACAACAGAUUGGUACUAGUUUGUUGGUUGAUCGGAUUGAUUUCUUGUUCGGAACUGGAUUGUAUUUGUGAUUUGAAACGGGUCUCUCUGAGGGUAUUUCUCUUUUAUGAUGCUUUACUGAAUAUAAUUUAGGGUUAUGACUACUAUAUGUCACACCUUUGACAAAGUUUUGUUUCCUUGCUAUCUCGUGUCUUGAUAUUCCUAUUUUUAUGUUCUAAUUUGUGGUGCUAGGGUGUUUGCUUUUUUUUUUUUCUUUUUCUUUCUUUCGAAGAAGCAUGGUUUUUGUUUUAUACAUAACCCAGUGAUGAGAUCUCCCGAAAAUUGAUUUGAUACCGUAUGCAUGAUUUAUAAUCGGUGACGAUUCAAGAAUGGAAUAUCCCAAUACACAACAGAUUGGUACUAGUUUGUUGGUAGAUCGGAUUGAUUUCUUGUUCGGAACUGGAUUGUAUAUGUGAUUUGAAAUGGGUCUCUCUGAGGGUAUUUCUCUUUUAUGAUGCUUUACUGAAUAUAAUUUAGGGUUAUGACUACUAUAGUCACACCUUGGACAAAUUUUUAUCUCAUUUGUGUAUAGACCAAAAAAAUUGUAAUAUUAACAGUAGUAGAUGUCACACCUUUGGACAAAUUUGUUACCUUGUUACCUUGCAGUGCUAUAUAUCUCGUGUUUUUAUGUUCUAAUUUGAGUUGCUAAGUUUUUUUUUUUGUUUUUUUUGAAGAAGCAGGUUUUUGCUUUUUACAUAACCCAUUAAUGAGAUAUCCCAAAAAUUGAUUGGAUGCCGUAUGCAUGAUUUAUAUGAUUUAUAAUCGGUGACGAUUCAAGAAUGGAUAUCCCAAUACACAACAAAUUGAUACUCGUUUGUUGUUUUAUCGGAUAAAUUUCUUGUUUGGAACUAUAUUGACAUAGGAGGACUAGUUUGCCCUUAUAGUUGAGGGGUUAACACUACCGUAGUUGACAUAGGAUGUGUCAUUUGAAUUAAACUUGUUUGAUUUACUUAAAUAUAGGGUUUUAGCUACGCAUUUUAUAUUUUCAAUGAUACACAAUGUAAUUGUUUUUUGAAGAGAUAUAUAAUGUAUUUGUUCUUUUCAUCAUCAAUAAAUUUUACCUUGGUUUUUUUUUCUUUCUUUUUUCUUCUGUUUCUGCAUGUUAUGUUCACGCCAACUAACAACCUUAUGCCGUUCCUAUAAAUUGGUGAUACCAUUUGGUCGGUUUGGCCAUUGUCUCAAGUUAGUGCACCUGCAUACAAAAUUUCAGUUGAGAACAUUUGAUAUCUUGAACUCUUUUUAAGCACAUCCAUGACAACCAAAGGUCUGUAUUUCCCUCAACCAAUUUUUUCACAUGGACAGUUAUAUGUUGCAUUGUCAAGAGUUACAUCAAGGAAAUUGAAGAUAUUGAUUUUUGAUGAUGAAGGGGAAGAUAGCUAUGUCAAGUGUAGUUUACAAAGAAAACUUUCAAACUGUACUUUGAUUUUUUGUUCAACUGUUGACUUUCUUAUAAAAAAAAAUCCAUGUAUGUCACAUUGAUCAAUGAUACAUGAUAUUUUAGAAUAGUUUAUUUUUCAAUUUGCUUGAGUUGAUUGUAAUCAAAAUAUAUUGAACAAUAAUCUAUAAAGAAGAGUCUAGUUACACCUAAAACUGUUGGCUGUAGAUUGACUACAAAUUAGCUACUGAAUAUGUAACUUUUGAAGUGUUAUAAAUAAAACUCUCAAGUGUUACUGAAAUUAUUUGGUAACAUGGCCUUUACCAAAUAUUUAUCAAAUAUUAAUACUAAAUCUAAAUAGUAACAGUUUUUUUUAUAUUUACUUACAUUUUUCAAGUGUUACUAAGUCUCAUAUGUUCUAGUGUUUGUGCAUCUUAUAUAAAGAUAAGGAAAUUAUUUUUGGGUGAGAUAUGUGCACGUGACUGUGAAUGACUAAUGGCCAAAUAGUAUCUUCACUCAAAGAUCCCUUUCGAUGUUGUUCACACGAAUGGAUCUAUUUCAUGUCUUGAGAUUCUUAAUUAGACCCUUUUCACACACGUAACGUAACCAUUUGACACUGUUUCCACUAAAAACUCUUGAAGAGUUGAGUACCGACAGCAAAAUGUCUUUUGUUAAAAUAUUAAUUCCAUAGAGAUAGAUUAUAAAUUCCAAAAAAAAAAGACAGCAAAAUGUCAAAUUAAAAGCUCAUGCUAUAUGUGGAAAAUGUGUACUCUCUUCGGCCUUCAUGUAUUAAUAUUAAUUAUAGAUAACAUUUAUAUUUAAUAAAUCUAAACUAGAAAAAUUGUUUACAAUGAAGACCGGAGGGAGGAGUAGUACUACAUAUGACAUUUUUUUUUAACCAUUUUUUAUUGACGGAUUUCUACCCCUCUAAAAUUGAUUUUUCUAGCAGUGUAAAGUGUUUUACACAACUAAACCUCAGAGUUAACCAUUUUUUUUUGUAAUAAAUUUCAAUUAAAGACAUAUUAGGAUGAAUCCGAACUCAUAUAUUAACUAGAUUAUUUUUUAAGACAUUAGGAUGAAUCCGAACUCAAAUUCUAACUAGAUUAUUUUCUUUUACGAAACUUUGCUUAUAUCUUGAUUGAAUUUCAAAGAAGUCAUUAAACAUAAUAUGAGAAAAAUUAGUAUUGAAUUCUGCAAUUGGUUUUGAAUACGAAGCACGAAUAUGGACACGGAUACCGGAUACGACAUCGAUACAAUUAAAUUUUUUUAAAAAAAUCACAUAAUUCAGUGUAAUAUAUGCGUCGGUGUCGGACACACACGUGUCUGACACACAGACACGCGUUAUCUCAAAAGUGUCUGUGUUUCAUAACUUUUGAUGGCACAAUUUUGUACAAACUAGUAUACAAACUAACACACCAAUUUGUGCAUCAUCCACACGCAUACUACACUACUAUUACUACACCUUUCCGUGGUGAGUUUAUCACUAGAGUUCAUUCAAAGUGUUUGGACUAAAAUGAUAUGACCAUCAUUAUCAUCAGACAAAAACCAAAAAACAGCUACCAUUUUUAGCAUGGGCUCCACUCUCCCACUAAUUUUCAAGAAAUUAAAUAAAGGAAACAACCACCUUACCUCCAAAUAAAUGAAGUAUUGACUUAUUCUCCAUUCCAUGCAUCUUCAUUUUUUCUCUCCUAUAUAUCACCCAACUCUCUCCAAUCUUUAAAAGAAAUCACUCUCUCUCUCUCUCUCUCUUAAUCUCUCUACAUAAGCAAAACAGCACUCAAUUUUUUCUUUUUAGGCAAAAAAACACACUCAAUUAAACAGGUUUAAAUAUAAUUGCAAGACCAAAAAUGGGAAACUGCUUGAAGAAUCAAUCAUCAAUCAAAUAUGCGACCGAUGACGAUGAGUGGGAUUUCCAAGCAUCCGAAGGCGAUUACACGUCCAAAAGCAAUGGUGCCGCUGCCAAAACGACAACCGAGGUGAAGAUAAAGAUUACGAAGAAGCAGUUAGAAGAGUUGUUGAGCAAAGUUGACAUAAGGGAGUUGAGAGUGGAGCAAGUUUUAGCCCAAUUGAUGAACCAUAGUAAUGGCUACCAAUCACUUCAAAGAUCUUGGAGACCUGCACUUCAAAGCAUCCCUGAAGUUGAUUGAAGUUGAUGAAGAUUAGUAUUGACCAGUUGGGUCAAUCUUGCUUUUUGCUCUUUGAAAAAAAAAUAUAUUCAUGAUUCAAGAUGGGGUAUUUGAAAAAAAUACUGUCCAUUUGAGGUGGUUUAUGACAUUCGUGACAUUCGGCUUAUUCUAGUACUCAUCAAUAACACGCCUAUGCCAAAUCGAGUGAAAAGGAAAUUGCCAACAUAUCGAUGGUCGUAAACCAGAUAAAGCUAUUGUGGUGGUCAUGGUUUAUUUGUGGAGAAGGAAGAAAUAAGAAUCUCUAUUUUUUCAAAUUGGUGGAUUUGUUGGAAUUUUUGGCAUGGUUGGUGCUUUUAUCUUGUAUCAAAUGGUGUUGAAUUUAAAAGGAGUGUCUUGAACUGCAGUUGCAUCAAGUGUUGCAGGAUUUGAUGAUUUGAUCAUGCUCUAGUUUAUAUCUCUCUUUAGCAACUAUGCAUAUCUUGUGCUAGUGUGCUAUUAAUUUGUAGGACCGUGAGGAUAAUUUUACAUUUGGUUUAUUAGGAAAUUGUUCCUUUUACAAGUGUAUACUCAUACCAAGUCUUUACUAUGAAUGUUUGUAACUUAAGAUGUUGUCUUGUAAGUCUUAUUCAUUAAAAAGGUCCUUGCAAAAUUUUCUAUCUUUUAAUAAAGUCCUUGAAUUUUUGUCGACGUCGCAGUUGAUGAUUGUGCAACUUUUGCCACGUGGUGCUGACGUCUCAUUUCACUGAACAAAAAAUAAAAAUAAAAACAAUUUAAAAUUUCUGAAAAUUAAUUUUUGAAAUUAAAAAAUCUGGAAAUAAAUUUAAAAUUAAAAAGUAAGUUUCCGUAAAAAAAUCAGAAAAUAAAUUUUCGAAAAAAAAUCUGAAAGUAAUUUUUUGAAAGAAAAAUCUGAAAUUGUUUUUUCUAAAAUUAAAUUAAAAGCUUGGCUAACAUCUACAUUAAAGGCCAAAUUGCCACCAAAUGCUUUCUUAUCAAGACAAUUGAUUCCUUAAGAAGUCAAUAGGAUACAAUCUUUUAUGUUCCUUCCAUGAAUGAAACCUCUCUUCUCCUUUAUAAUCAGCAUAGAAAUUAUUUGCGCAAGUCUAUCAACAAUAAUAAUAUUAGAGAUUAUUUUGAAUUUAAAAUUUUCCAUUACUAUUGGUCUAAAUUGCUGCAAAAGAAUAUCAUUAUGACCGUUAUCUUGAAUUUGCUACUCUAUAUAUAUCUUACAACUAUGAUUCAGCUUCAUUUACCCUAUAUGUACAUUGCCAAACACAUCUUUAUUCCAAGCUUUAAUUAAGUUAACUUUCAACAAUUGAAGCUUCUUGUUUCGAAUGUACAUAGGAUUUCAACAAUGUUUGCAUUUCAAAUUGAAGAAAUUAUGUUUUUACAAUCAUUAUGAAGGCUCCACAUUUUCAUAAAUUUAAACUGAGAAUUGAAACUAUGAGCUCCUAAUUUAAAUUCUAGCGAAAUUGGGAAGUGGUCUGAUCUUGCCUUCAAAAGAGUUGAACAUCGAAUACAAGUGCACAUAUCUAACAAUUAUUGAUUUGUCUAGUUCUUAAAAUCUUCCAUGCUCAUGUUUCCACAUAAUUGUGUUAAUUAAAAUCUCCCAUAAAACUCUAGGAAAUUCUUACAUUCAACUGAAUAGCUAGAAAAAUACUCCAAAGAUCCCUUCUUUUAACAUAACAAAUGGAAGCAUACACAACAAGAAAUCCAAAAUGAGUUCACCUUAAAUAGAAUUAGAACAACUUUUAGAGAUCUUAUGUUUGCCCAACUUUUCUCACCUAUCAACAAAGGUUGUCUGCAAAUUGAAGAUGGGAUAUCAUAACUCCAUUAUCAUGUGCGCUAACCUUAUACCCAAAAAAUAGGCCUUCGACUACAAUGGCUUACAUCAUAACGUUCAGACUUUCUGCCACAAUUAAAAAAAGGAAAGGUGACAGUGGAUCCCCUUGACGCAGUCCUCGUUGAAAAGAGAACUAUAUAUGAUGUCGGGCUGCCAUUGAAAAGAAUAGAAGUUAUAGCGGCACUAAUACACUCCUUAAUCCACUUCAUAAUGUUGAAAAAUUCAUUUUAGACAAAACAACAUCCAAAAAAUUUAAUCCGCUAAGUCAAAAGCCUUCUCAAAAUCAACUUUAAAAUAAUUAGUUCUUUUUCUAACUUUCGUGCUUCGUCCACCAACUCGUUAAGAAUUUGACGACCCUAGAUGAAUAAUGAUUGCUCCUCAGAAAUAACCAAAUCGAUCACUACUUUGAAACGAUUAGCUAUAACUUUAGACAAAACCUUUUACAGACACCCAACUAAGGAAAUCGGUCGAAAAUCAUAUAAUCUUUGUGGACUAUCCACCUUAGGAAUAAGGGCAAUAAAAGUACUAUUGAUAUGAUCCUACUACUAAUUUACCAUUGCGCAGAAAACCUGUAAUGAAGCACAUCACAUCCUCUUUUAAUUCCCUCCAAAACUCUUUAAUAAAGCCAAAAUUAACACCAUUAGGACCUGGACUUUUGUAAUUGUCAACAAUCCCAUAUAACUUGUUUCACCUCUUCUAGGCUAGAUGGUUUUAUGAGAUCAUCGUCUUGAGGCAUAGUCAAAGAUUUGAAAGCAAGGUUAUCCACCCUUGGGCGCUCAAAAUUAACUUACUAAAAAUGAGAUUCAAAGUGAUUAAAUACCACUUCUCGAACAUUAGACAGCCCUUCCACUUGAAGACCGUUAACAGUUAUAGAGUUAAUUGCAUUUGACCGACGUUUAAAACAUAACACAACAUGAAAAAAGAAUUAUAUUAGCAUCACCCUCUUUCAACCAGCACAAUCUUGAAUUCUACCACUGCAUACUAGAAUUAAUUCUUGCCAAAGAGUGUAAAUAUACAGAUAGGGAGUGAAGCACCUCCACCUCAUCCAUGUCUUGAUUGAUAUCUUCCUUCUUUAAAUUUAAUGUUUAAUGCAAAAAUGCGUUCUUUCACUGAAGAAUCUAACUUCCAAUAUUUUUAGUAAGCUUGUGAUGCCAAUUUUUCAGAUUGCUUUUAAUGAACUUAAAUUUUUCUUCAAAAAAAAUGAACUUAAAUUUUUCUUUCAACGUAUAAACUCCCAAACUUAUAACUUGGAAAGAGUGUCAUUGCUCCUUAGCAAAUUGAUGGUAACCAGAAAGUUAUCCUAUUUAUUACUCCUUCCAUUUUAAAAUACGUGGGAGAUUGCCGUUGACACAUAUGAUAGGGUUAAAAAACACAUGUAAAAGACGAAAAUGCCUCUGCGACAGUUAACUACCGAAAUUUAAAAUUGGCAGCAGUUAACUGCCGAAGAACUCAUAAUUUUUUUCUUCAAGAUUCUCUUUCAAUUCCACACUUGAAAAUAUUAAAAAUUUACCAAAUAAACCUAACAUGGCUACUUAGCAUGAUCUUCUUCAAAAACUCCAAGUCACCGAACCAACUUCCUUUGCUGAGCAGGUAAUUUAACUUAAUUAAUAUAUAUCAAUUGUGACUUAAUUGGACUUGCUUAAUAUACGGCUAGUAAAUACUCCCUCCGUCCCAAAUUGUAUGAUAUUUUGGGCAUUUCACACGUAUUAAGAAAUGUAAUUAAUUUUGUGUGGGAAAGAGAUAUUAUGAGUUGUUUUACAAAAUUGUCCUUAAUAAAUGAUAUGAGAAAGAUAAAUGAAUAACUUGGAAGUAGGGAAGGCAAUAAAUAGUGAAGGAUAUAAUAGGAAAAGUAACAUUAAUGAUUCAUCGGUAUUGUAAAGCGACGUACAAUUUGGAACAAAUUUUUUUUCCAAAGUGACAUACAAUUUGGGACGGAUGGAGUAACAUUUAGAAACUCUAUAAAUUAAUAAUGUCGGGACCGGAGAAAUUUAUUAAUUUAGAGAGUUAUUAAUUUAUCGAUAAAUUAAUAAUUAUUAAUUUAAAGAGUUUUUAAGUAAUUAUACUGUACAUACCAAACAAAAAGGCAAAUUAGUCUAUGUCCCUUAGAAUUACAUUGCACCAGAUCUUGGGACUCAAUGUAAAUUAAUAAAUAUUGUAUUCAUAUCCAUUGGAAAUAUGACUUUUGACUUUUGAAGUGUAUAGUAAAUGUAAACAAGUGGAAUGUUCAAUGUAUUCUUAAGCAAGUUUGGCAUAUAUAAAUUACAUGAAUGUGUUAAAAGUAUUCAAAUCAUAUCUCACUCACGAGAUGGCUUCUCAUCUAAAAGGUGUUGCAAAAUCAACUAUGUCAGAUCAAAUACGUAGGGAGUUGUGCGAGUACAAGAGAGAUAAUCCUGCAAGCACACAAGACUUGCAGAGAUGGCUUGAGGGAAAAUUUCAGUUGAAAGUUAGUCAAGGAACAAUAACAAACACACUUAAGCGGUCAAAUGACUAUCUCUCUGCUGAAAUAGAAAAGGGAAGAGCGGAGAUCAAAAGACACAAACCAGCAAAAUAUCCUGACAUGGAGAAGGUUGUUUAUGAGUGGUUUCUACAGCAUCAAGAACGUGUGAAUAUCACAGGAGAAUUAAUUUUGCAGAAGGCAAGAGAUACAAUGAAUCAUAUUUCAACAAAGUGUAAUAUAUUUUUUUUCAGUUUCUAUGAAUUAUUAAUUUAUGAUUUUCUUGGGACCGAAAAUUAUAAAGGGAUCUUCCAAAAAAUUAUUAUCUUAUUAUUUUAUCGAAUUAUUCAAUUUUUUACACUGGCCCAAGUCGGGACCGGACAAAUUCAUUAUUUUAGAGAGUUUAUUAAUUUACCGAGGAUUAAUUUAAAGAGUUUCUACUGUAUAUGUUUUUUUUAUAGAUUUUUUGAAUAUGUAUUUCAAUGAUAAAUAUAAGCCUAUCCCUAAUGUUUACAAUCUUGUGCUGGCCAUGUUGUGGCGUCAUCCUGAGAAUGUUGAACUUGAGAAAGUCAAAGUUGUUCAUUACUGUGCAGCGGUAAGUUUUUAAUAUUUCGAAGUGUGGAAUUGAAAGAGAAUCUUGGAAAAAAAAAUUAUGAGUUCUUCAGCAUUUAAGUGCCGAAGUUAACUUUGGUAGUUAACUGCAGUCGGUAUCAAACUUCGAUAUUUAAUUGUCGCAUGAGCAUUUUCGUCUUUUACAUAUCUUUUUCAGCCCUAUCAUAUAUGUCAAUAACAAUUCUCAAAUACAUGUCGUAGUCAACCACAUCACACAUGCCAAUAUACAACUUUGUCUGUUAAUAUCUUUAAAUAUUGAUGGUAAAAAAUUGUAAAAUUUUAAUAUUUUAUAAAUAUUUAUUGAGACAAAUCAAACAACUUAUUAUAUAUUAACAUGUGUAUUUAUAUAUUAAUUAAAAAUAUGCUCAAAAUUAUAUAAAUAAUAUAUAGUAUAAAAAUACGAUAUGUAUUUUAAAACGGAAGGAGUAUCAUAAGAUUAGGUAACUGUCCAAUCAUAUUGAGGGCACAGUUGUUAAGAUAAUGGUCAAAAUUAAACAAAUCUAAUAAGAGCUAGCCAAAACAUAAUGAAUAAGAGAUAAACAUGAGCCCUUAAAAAAAAGAUAUCCCAACAUUUUCAUAUAUAGUGAAUAUAAUAGUGAUAGAUGCCAUCAAUAGUCAAUAGAGUGGUCCUCUCAAAACAAAUAGUCAAUAGUGCCACAUAAUAAAGUUAUAGAUGCCACAUAAUAUGUCACAUAAACAUGAGCCUAGAAUUUUCAUUGAAUUCACAUAUAAAGAGGAGUUAGAGUUGUCCCCAAUUACAUAUAUUGGUGUGAUCCUUCAAAAAUAAUAAAAAUUAUUGGUGGUGAUUGGUGAACACAUUCCGAAUUUCAUUCUUUGACUAGAGGAAAAAAUUGUGAACAUAAUUAUAUGCUUUAAAGCAAAUCUACAUGAUAAUUUUGGAUGGUAGUGUAAACUUUGUAGUGUGGCAACUAGUAGGGACUGCUUUGACAAGAGCAAAUUAGGAAUGCAUGUUGAGUUUGUCUGCUUGGGUGAAGGAGCCAACUUGGACUCACCCACCACUUUUAAGAACGAUCAUUUUUAAUAAUGUUAAUGAUAAAAAAAUUAAAUAAAAAAAAUAAAGACAAAAAAAAUACUUGUUUUAUUAAUUACUAUAUUUUGAAGGGACUUUAAAGACCGUUUAAAUAAGACUUUUGAUAUUAAUUUAAGAACAAUAAUCAAUCCAUUCUCUAAACCGUCCCAAUCAAAAUGCACCCCUUCAAUGACGUCCCUGUCCACUUCUAACUUAAAAACGAAAAGAACACACUCUAGCCAUCCAUUACUACUACAUAUUGUGGUCAAGGAAAGCCACUAGUUACCAUCUUCAUUUUGCGUUACUAGCUACCCAAUCAUUUAAAGACCAGUUAACACCACACAAAUCAUCCACAAUUUUCAGAAGGAUGUCUACCUAGUUUAUAAGCUUUGAAAAUAAGAAUGGUAAGGUCAAUACAUAAUUAGGUGAUGAUGAUUAGGGAGCACAUAUUCUUGUUGUAGUUAUAGUACUAUAAAUUUAUGGACGUGGAGAUCAAUAUCACCACCGCUCACCAACAAGCAAAUAAAAGUUUACAUUACUUUUGCUGAAAUGAAUUAUGCUAAAUUUACUAAAAAAAGUUAUGCUAAAUAUAGUUGCAACAACUAAAUUUAUAAAAAAUAAAUAAUACAUAUUCGAUUCGUUGAAAAUGAUUUAAAAUAACAUCAAUAUUAUUUUUUUAUGAACAUUUCUUUCUAUAAAAGUUACAGUACGGUCAUUUAACCACUGAUUACUAAUCUUAAUACAUAAUUGACUCCUUACAUAUUUUAUAUUUGAAAAAACACGUUCAACACUUACAGUUGUCAUCGGCAAAAUCAGAGGUAGCUUUAGAAGCUUGUAAGCCAUAUCAAACAUAAAGAAAUUAUUGUAAUUAUCUACUUUCACAAAUUCAAUAUAUCGUUCUACUCAAGUUCAUUUUAGAAGUAAUUGCCAUGCACCAAUUAAUUAUAUCAAUAUAUCAUUCUACACAAAUUACAAGCAUUACCAAAUGAACCCAAAAAUGGGUAGCUUUCUUUUUGGUCGAGCAAGAAGUGAAUUGCAAUUGUAAAAACAUGAAUUAAAAUCUCAAAGAUAACCUCACAAAUUGGCUGGAUAAUGACAGAGCAUCAUAUGUUAUUUUUGGUUAUGUGAUGAACGGAUUAGGAAAAUGUACUAAAUCAUUUACAAAGUAAUAAGUGAUCAGUAGAAUAUCGUAUCCACAAGGAUUGUCGUUGCGUUUAACCAAAUCAUUUACAAAGUAAUAAGUGAUCAGUAGAAUAUCGUAUCCGCGUUACUUAUUUGGGAACAAUAAAAUAAAUAAAGAGAUAAUGGUUUAGAGUUUUGCAAUUUAAUUUGUUUGCAACAGAGCAAAAUUUACCUGUUUUAUUGCAGAAUGUUAGCGGCGAUUCCUCUCUAUUUAUUUGUUGGAAUUAAAUAAAAGUCAAGUCAACUAAGUAGGCUAUUUAAGUGAUGAGUUUGUUGGGACGUGAUAACCUAAUCAGGUGUCAAAUUGCAACUGCUGGUCAUACAGUGAUACUUACAUGCGGAGUUUUACUCUCUCAGAGAUGUAGGACUAUCCCUUCGCCUGUCGAGUUGUACCUGUUGAUCACACUAAGGUUAUAUGCGCGCUACUGUAUAGGGUUAUCAAUUCUAUAGGAUCCGCCACCUUCGUAAGGAUUAUUAGUGUGGGGUCUUACUCGCUCAGAGGUAAUUGAAACAUAUACUUAAAUUAGAGUUCCUAAAUUUCCAAAGGUAUGACUUCCUAGUGUUCCUAAAGGUUCCCUCAUCUAAUUACUUCCUGGUUAGAUAGAUAUAAAUAUCAGUAUUAGGCCAUGUCACUACCUAAGUUCCUAAUUUAGAGUUAUGCUUCAGAAGAAACAAAUCUUACGCACUAUAAUAAAACUAAAUAGCAAACAGAAAAUAAUUGAAUAAAAGACUUUAAAUUAAAUAAUUAUCCAACAAACAAAGUAGAAGUUUAUCUUAGAACCAUAGCCUUAGAAGAUUUAGUUACCCAUGGUUGCAAGUUUAUCUUGGGCAUCUUCAAUAAUGAUGCAGAACGGAAGCAAGAAUUAGCAAGCGCUAAACCUAAAAGAUAAUCAGACAGGUUGCAAGCGACAAGUCUAUCAAAUAAGGGUUUUCGGAAUCCACCAGAAUUGAGAAAAAAGUCUCGAAUAUUUUUCUUAAAUAAAAAACUGUCUCUUAGGCUGCUGCAUAAGUUCUAUUUAAAUACUAAAAGAAAUAACAAACUCGUAUGGUCCGAAAAAUAACAAAACGAAAUAAAAUAAAAAAAUUUAGAAAAUGUUGAAAUAUUAAAAGGCGGUUUCGGGUCAUCAAACGACCUCGAAUGACUAAAAUAACUCAUACUUCAUGGCAAAGCGAUGAGUUCUGCUCGUGAGGUCCAAGGUUUUCCGAAAAGAUAUAAUUCUGAUCAAUCUGACACCGGAUGUAAAAUCUGCACAAUUCUGACUGAACCUUUCUUGCGCGCCACUUCGUCUUCGAUUCGUACUUGAGCUUGUCAACAUCAAACAACUAGUAUACAUACAACCAGACCAAUUUGUGCAUCAUCAUCCACACGCAUACUACACCACUACGUACUGCUAGCUUUCCGUUAGUUUAUCACUAGAGUUUAUCUAAAGUGUUUGGACUAAAAUGAUAUGACUAUCAUUAUCACUAGACAAAAACCAAAAAACAGCUACCAUUAUUUCUAGCAAUGAAGCAUUGACUUAUUCUCCAUUCCAUGUAUCUUCAUUUUUUCUCUCCUAUAUAUCACUCAACCCUCUCCAAUCUUUAAAACAAAUCUCUUUCUCUCUCUCUCUCAAUCUCUCUGUACAUAAGCAAAACAGCACUAAAAAAUUUCUUUUUAGUAGAAAAACAACACUCAAUUGCAAAACCAAAAAUGGGAAACUGCUUGAAGCACCAAUCAUCAACAAAGUACUUGACCAAGGACGAUGAUGAUGAAUGGGAUUUUUCAGCAUUCGAGGGUAACUCUGCGGGAAAAAGCAACGGUGCUGCUGCCAAAACAACUACUGAGGUGAAGAUAAAAAUCUCAAAGAAGCAAUUAGAAGAGUUGUUGAGCAAAGUGGACAUAAGGGAGUUGAGAGUGGAACAAGUUUUGGCCCAAUUGAUGAACCAUAGUAAUGGCUACGAAUCACUUCAGAGAUCUUGGAGACCUGCACUUCAGAGCAUCCCUGAACUUGAUUGAACUUCAUUUUGAUUAGCUUAAGUAUAUGAAGUUGAUGAGGCUGAGUAUUGACCAAUAGGGUCAAUCAUGCUUUUUGCUCAUUGAAAAAAUAAUAUAUUGAUAAAAAAAAAGUAUUUGAAAAACAAUUGUCCAUAUGAGGUGGUUUAUGACAUUCGUCUCCUUCGGCUUAUUCUAGCACUCAUCAAUAGCGCGCCUAUCCCAAAUAGAGAGAAAAUGAAGUUGCCAACAUUUUGGAGGUCAUAGAGAAGAUAAAGCUAUUGUUCUGGUCAUGGUUUAUAUGCGGGGAAGGAAGAAAUAAGAAUCUCUAUUUUUCAAAUUGGUGGAAUAUCUUCAAUGCAUGAGGAUGAUGGAUUUUAAUAUGUCAAUCAAUGCAAAGUGGAUUUUAAUUUGUCAAUCAAUCCAAAGUUGAAAGAGGAGACGAGCCUUUUUGUUGAAAUUUUCAGUAUGGUUGAUGCUUUUAUCUUGUAUCAGAUGGGGUUUGAGUUUGCCCUCAUAAGCUUAGCUCAGUUGACAGAGACAAUACAUAAUAUAUGCAAGGUCUGAGGUUCAAACCCCAGAUACCAAAAAAAAAAAAAGACGGGGUUGAGUUUGAGAGGAGUGGCUUGAACUGCAGUUGCAUCAAGUUUUAAUUGUGUUCUAAUUAGUUGGUGAUUUAAUCAUGCUCCAGUAUAUAUAUCUCUUUAGCAACUAUGCAUAUCUUGUGCUAUUAAUUUGUAGGACCGUGAGGAUAAUUUGACAUUUGGUUUAUUAGGAAAUUGUUCCUUUUACAAGUGUACUCAUACCAAGUCUAUACUUUGAAUGUUUGUCACUAGAUGUUUGUCCAGCAAGUCUUACACAUUAAAUUUUGCUUCUCAAUUCUCUCGCAAACUUGCUCAUGCAAAAUUUUGAUUUCAUUUUAAAGAUGAAGAGAACUUUGACUCAAGGUUUGAGUCUCUUCCAAUCCGAGGAGAACGUUGAAGAAUAAUAUGAAAUUUUCAAGAAAUGUACAUUUAUGGAACUUCCAAGAAACAACACUGAUGAAUACAUAACUAGGGAAAUUUUAAGAUCUCUAGAUUUUUCUAGGCCUGUAAACUAGAAUUUCAUCACCUUAUCUCUAGAUUUUUCUUAUGAUAUAUCCAUUGCUAGCAACAAAUUCCUCAGGACCUUAUCUCUAAAAUAUUAUUGAAUGAAUAAAAGUUGUCUCUUAAACUACAACCGUUAAGCUUAUAUAGCGAAAUAACAAAACCCUAAUGCGCCAAGAUUUUUUCAUGCAUGUUUGCAAGUUAGGAAAAGGAAAAAUCAAAUAAUAGCUCUAAAAACGUGAUUCUUGGAUAGAAGGAGUUGCUGAAAUCAAGAGGCAUUUCAAAAGCAUAUUCACAGAUACAGAUGAAUCUAGGCCAAGAUUGGAGGGACUUACAUUUCAACAACUAUGCUUGUCAGAUCUACGUUGUAGAUAGUAGUUUGAUGAGAAGGAGAUCAAAGAAACGGUAUGGAGUUGUAAUGGAGACAAGAGCCCAGUUCCCGAUGACUUCAAUUUAUACAUACAAUCUUGUGCAUACAAUCUCCUUAUACUAUAACUUGAGACAAUUUAUACAUGCACUUAACUCUAUGUGUAUUGAACAUUAACACACAACGCAUCAAUUGUUCUCUAGCACCUAACAAAAAACACACACUUUUAUAUUUCUCAUAUUUUCAGAUAGGGCUAAUAGUGUAUUGAAAAAAAAUGUUUCUGUUGGUCUUCAAAAAAUUAGGGUUAAUAAUAUAUUACCCCUCUGUAAUAUAGACGAUUUUCGGUUUUUCCCUGUAAAAAAUUUUGUUUAGAUUCCGUUCUUAUAAAAUAAAGAUUCUCCUAAAUAGCCCCUGACCCAUAUGAUUGUGCAAAAAUGAUGUGGCACGCGAACUGCAUAAUUAAUAUAUUUUUUAAGGAGAGUAUCUCAACAAAAAACUUUACGUGGGUAAAACCUGAAAUGGCCUAUAUUACAGGGGUAAAGGACUAUUAACCCAAAAAAUUAUAUAAUUUGGAUGAAUUAUACUUCGAUGUGUAUUUUAGAUUCUUUUAUUAGAAAUAUAUUAUGUUUUUCUGAAUUCAGAUUUUGUUGAUGUUGUUAUUGAUCAUUUCGAAGGGUUCUCUUCCUUGUUGUUUCACUUGUUUCUUCUGUGAUAUUUUUUGAGUGGUAAAUUUUAUCCCUUUGUGUUUUCUUGUCAAGAUUUUAAUUAGGUAGAUGCUAAGUUCCAUUGAUUUUAUCCCUUUGCUACUGUCCCUCCAAGAUCGUUUGUAUCUUUAUUUUUACCCUUAAUAAUAUUUUUUUAGUGUUAGAGUUGAUAGGUGAUGGCCAACAGGUGUCAACAUAGUUAGAUGUCUUGGUUUGUUGUCUUUGCAAACUUUUUCGAGUUUGUUUAUUUUAUAAAGAAAAUCUAUUACUUGAUUUGUCCGUAUUUAUGCGGAAAUAGAUUUGUACAAGAAACUCAUUUCAAAGUUCAUUUGAGUGCUUUAAGUUUUUUUCUUAAUCAUGAAUGCGAAGCAUUAUAUAUAUAUUUUGCCUUUUAUUAUCUGUGGGAAAUAUGGCGGCAAGGCUGAAACUUGUCUAGACAUCAAGCUUUUUGACAAGGUCCUGGUUUUUUUCGCCUAAAGAGAUGGAGUAUGCCGCAAGAGAUGCAAGUUUGUAUACAAUCUUUAUUUCGGAAUUGCAACAACCGGUUGACCCUGAAUCAUACAGUGAAGAUCUCAUUGGUUCAUGAGGAAAUUUCACAUACCAGUCACGAAGACAUUCCAACGGAUUUUGUUCUCUGGAUCAUGCUCAAAAGACAUAAUAGGAGGAAGCAGUUAGAUGGUAAAUCUCAACCAAAAUUCCAGGAGCGAAAAAAGACGGGUAGAUACGAAAGGAAAAAAGUAGGAGGUAAUUGCAAUUAAAUUUAUUAAUAUUGGUGAGGUCAUUAUACAUAAAGAUUCUAGGACUGGUGGUUCACGUGUUGCAUAACAAAUUCCACCAGGUGAGGGAGUCACAUCAAAGCUCAUUGGGUUUAAAGAGAAUGAUAGUUUGAAAAUCUUUGAAGUUUGUCUUAUCUCAAUCUAGGGUUCGUAAUAAAGUAGGCGGUUUAACUCCUCGGUUUGCGUUGAUUUAAGUCAUACAAAAAAUGAUGUUAUGUGUGGAUGACGAAAGAGUGAUUCCAAUGUUACUAGCUCGAUUAAAAUAUUAUCUCGAUCAAAGCCAUUACAAGGUGUCAAUAAUGAAUCAGUUCAUGUACAUUUACAUGCUGCAGAUUUAACGAAGAAUCGAGCAAAGAAACAAAUAGAGGAUCAACAUGGAUAAAUUAUUUUUCUGAUAUGUGUCGUUGGUUGUUGAAGUGCUGUAGUGACAAACAACGACUUUAUUCGAGAAUGUAGGAAUAACAUCAUUAUUUUUUGAGGAUCUUUUUUAAUCAUCUUUUUAUUUAUUUUGUCAUCUUUAUUCUACUGAUUUAGGUAUAUGUCACCCAACUUUUGUUUUUAUUUUUUCAUAAAUAAAUUUGGGAAUUUAUUUCAUUAUUUUAAUAUUUUCUGUAUUUAUAUUCAUAUAUACUGUACUAAUUGUUUAUUAAUAAUUUUAAUUUUGAAAGGGUCUUGGAUCCCAGCAGGUACAUACCUCAUACACAAUGGCCAUCAAUUAAAUUUUCUCGUUCUGCAUCUUCUGUUUUUUAGUAUAAGGUAUAAAAGUUCAAAGUCAAGUCAAAUAUGGAAAUUCAAAAUUGGCACAUUGAUAAAGAAUGAAAACAAUAACCUCAAAAAACGUUUCGGUACAAUUGAACAUUGUGACAAUUUGAUCUUCUUCUUUCUUUUUCUUUUAUUUUUUAUAUUGAUCUAGAUAAUGAUGACCGUAUAAGAGAGGAAAAAAUGGUAUGUUAUUAGUAAUAAUCCAUAAAACUGAAUUUCAACAUUUAUAAUAAUUGCAAUUAUCUAUCCAAUAAAAAUAAAAAUUCGACUACUUUGUUAUUUCAUAUUUCCAUUAUUAAUCUUUAGUCACACUAGACCUGACCCGUGCAUCGCAUUUCAUAUAUAAGCAUCAGGUUUACUGUAUUAUUAGUUGUCGACAUGUUUAAAUAUAUUAUGUUUAACAUUUCAAUAAAGACUACAAUGAAUAAAAUGCACCGAAGUUGAAAAUCGUCAUAUAAAAUCUAAACAAUGAGCAAAAUUUAAACAAUGAGCUAAUUAAAUAAUUCAAAAUACACAUCAAAGGAAAAAAGUUACUGUAUAAAGUUAGUAUGAAAAACAUAUCAAGUGAUUCAACCAUAUAAGCCUAUAAGGUCACCUACAUUUUCAUUUUUCAAGACAUAUGUCGUAGGAAAAAGGGGGAAGAAAAUGGUUGAAAACCGCAGACUUUUGGGCUUAGAUUGCGAUGGAGAAAGGAGAAAAAAGGGUUCGAAACCAUUUGGAAAAAAAGAAAAGGAAUUAAUUGGUUUUUUUUUGAAAAGGGAGUUUAAUAUUGGAUAUCAUGUAUGUAGUGGAAGCCAAAUGAUAUCACAAAAACAGCAACAUGGCAUGGGUUCGAAUCUCUGGAAAAAAAAUUGCAUAAAUAUUUUUCAGAACCCUAAAAAAAGGGCGGGAUUAGGGUUAAUCAGGGUUGCUUGCAAUACUGUUUAACAUUUAUAUAUAUUAAGAUUAAGAUAUGCAUUGAAUAAUUGUAGCACAUUGAAUUUCUUGAAUUUUACAUGGACUGCUUGACUAGAAUUAUUAAGAUUCAAAACAGCUAAAUCAUCUUUGAAAUCUGAAGCAACAUGUUCUAGAGUAGUGUUAUGCAUGAAAUAUUUUCCAACAUAAAUUUAUUACUUCAUUGAAUUAGUCAAAUCCUAUCUUAAUAAAUUUUCAUUAAAAACGUAUGCGUCCCUCUCAAAGCUGAAUUCUUUAGUUACUUUUCUUUUUGACAGAAGCUGAAUUCUUAGCUUCUAAUAAGUAUUAUUUAUUAAUAAAAUCAACAAUUUUAAUUUCUUACCAUGUAAUAGCCUAAUAGGUGUUUUGGACAGGUCAUGAGUUUUUUUUUCUCUUGAAGGAAUGGAUCAUCAUGAGUUAUGACUUAUGACGUAUAUAUUGGUGUUAAGGACAUGUCUUUAAGAAUGAUUCCUUGUAAGGAGGUUUUAUUUGAAGAUCUCUCAAUAUAAUCUUUCAGCAUUUUUGAAUUUUGAGUAUCUUGUUCUUUGGGUUAUAUAUACAUACUUAAAUAUGUUACUUUUAUUAAUUAAGCUUGGUUCAAUUAAUAAGCUAAUUCAAUUCAAUUAUUAAUAACAAGUCAGUAGAAUAAUUCAACCUCAAACCCCACCUUGUUUGAAAUGGUAUUAUAACAUUUGGCAGUUAGGCUAAAAUAUGGUUUUGCUUCCUGCAAAUAUACCUCGUUAUGGUUUUAGUUUCUGUAAAAAAAAAAAUUGUUGUUUUUGGUCCCUGCAAAAUAUUUUGUUUUUGGAAAUAGUCCCAGUGACUAUUUCCAAAAACAAAAUAUUUUGCAGGGACUAUUUCUCUAAUAAAUGGGUUCAGUCAUCAUGUGUCACGUAUGCAAAUCAUCACAAAAGUGGAGUCAGAGACCAAAACCAAAAUUAGGCAUAUUUGCAAGGACCAAAAACAACAACAAAAAUUUACAGGGACUAAAACUAAAACAAAGUAUAUUUGCAGGGACCAAAACCAUAUUUUAGCCUAACUCUUAUAUCAAUACCUCUAGAAAAAACUUAUAUUAAUUGAAGGAAAUAAUACCAUUCGGAUGUACUAAUCCAUUAAAUUUUUUGUAAUAAUUAUUUUUAAGAGAAUGUUAACCAUUGAUCUUGGGACAUUGGUUAAACAACUAAAAUAAGUAGGGUUUUUUUAACCUAUGCAACAUUACUUAAGAUAAGGUGCAAUAAAUGUACCAUUUUUUUCAACAAAAACUAUCAUAUUAACUAUCCUUUUUUGAAAAUGAUUUUUUUUUUUCUCUAUCUUAUAAAUCAUUAUAUUUUUAAUUUACUUCAUACUACAACAAUAAAUAUUACUUCUAUUAAUUAUUGAAAAAAAAUAUCCCUACUUUUCUAUUUCUCCACCAUUGUGAUAUAGCGAGUCAAAUGCCCAGAAGAUUAGAGUCAAAUGCCCAAAAAAAAUGUAACCCAACGACAAUGUAUUUUUAAAGCUGCAAAUACACCAUCUCUUGUGGCGGCACACAAUGACACAUGAUGAAAAACAAUAUGGUACCGGAAGUUGAAUCAACGGACAAAAACAUAGCCUUUAGGAAAAAUUGCAUAUUUUAAGCUGCGAAUAAGCCUCUCUUGUGUUGGGGAAAUGAAAAGAAAUUAUGUUUCAAGUAUUUGAUCUAAAUCAAUUUUUGUAAUACCCUUGUCUAAAAAAAUGUUAUUGCAUUUGAUGGAUAAUUUUAAAUGAAAUUACUGCGAGUAUUUUUUUAUUGUUGUAGUAUGAAGUAAAAAAAUAUGUAUAAUGAUUUAUAGGAUAGAGAAAAAAAACCAUUUUUCAAGAAAAGGAUCCUUAGUUACCACGAAGUGUUUCCUGAACACGUGCCAGACCAUUUAUAUCAAUUUGGCACUUUAGGAGGCUUCUCAAAAAACAACCGCUCCGCUUUUCAUCUUAUAUGGUUAUCUUGUGUGUGGGUGAUUUGACUUGAAAGGAAUGCUCGGAUUUUUCACCAAACAGAAGCUUCGAUUAAGCAAUUGCUAGAUAAAGUUAAGCUUCAAUCUUACUAGUGGCUGAAAGCAAAUCGUCCUAGUUUUGUUUUCUCCUACCAUUCUUGGUGGUUAAAUCUUUUACCUUGCUUGGGAAUUAUUAUGUAACAGGGUAGCUCUCUUUUUUGGUUUUUCAUAUUUUUGUUCCCCGUAUUUUUUUGAUUGUAUUUGAUACUCUUCCAGCUGGAUUUUUGGCACUCCUUGUGCUGAAAUCUUCAGGCGUUCAGUAAUAUAUUUCAUUUUACCUUCUUAAAAAAAAAAAAGGAUAAUUAAUAUGAUAGUUUUUGUUGAAAAAAUGAUACAUUUAUUGCACCUAUCCUAUGCAAUGUUGCAUAGGUUAGAAAAAAAACCCAAAUAAGUAAGUUUUUAAUAAAAAGUUAUGUAUCAUUACUUGGUCAAAUGUAGCAGCUUGCAUUUCCAAGAUAAAACUUCUACUUAUGGAUUCCUUAAUCAUUGCUCUUAGGGCACUGAUUAGCAAGACCCUUAUAUUUAUUUUCAUUCUGGUGUUCCUUACUUGUUUAUGAUGUAACUUGAGACAUGAAUGCAAUUCAAUUUCUCAUCCUUGAGGGAUAUUAGUAGGGUAAUAGGUAAGUACAUGAGAGUCGGGGAUGGAGAUGUGCAAGGUAAAAUCUGCCCCCCCCCCCCCCCUUAAAGGAAAGUGAACAUAUUGGUAGAUAAUGCAUUACAACAUUACCGUUGGGGCUGGAAAAUAAAAUGCAGGGAUUAGAUGAGACGCAUAUACCGAAACCUGAUUGUGAUCUGACAUCUUAUGAUACUUUAAAUUUACUUAUACCUGAAAAAAUAGAAUCAAUGUUGGGUGAGAUAUUGACUAUCUCAAUGAGCUUUCCAAGUGGGAGAAAACAAGACCUUGCCAUUGAACAAGAUUAUUAAUGAAAAUGUAAAUAUAAAUUGAAACUUAAAUAUGAACAAUUAGAAAUUCAUUAUUUAAUUAAAUUCAAAAUUAUAUAUAUAUAUAUAUAUAUAUAUAUAUAUAUAUAUAUAUAACAUAAUAAAAGCUAAUAAAUAAAUAUUGUAACACUGGUCCCCGUGAGCUUAGCUCAGUUGAUGGGGACAAAUGCAUAUUAUAUGCAGAGAUCGGGGUUCGAACCCCAGACACCCCACUUCUGUGAGCUCCAACCACUAGACUAUCUGACAAAAAAAAUAUUGUAACACUGAAUGUGGACUAUGUAUUGUAGUGGUAUGAUAAGUGCUCUACAAUAAACAUUAAGUGUCGGUAUUCUUUGGCUUUUGGCUUUUUUUUGAAGGGCCUGGUAUUAUUAUUUUUUAAUUUCAUACUUGAUAUAUGUGAAUAUGAAUUGCAUAUGAAUAAUCAUCUACCAAUAUGUUGGAGUAUUGUUUAGAUACUCGUCAAGUUUUAUUUUUAUAAGCACAAGUUUUAUUUUAGUACAAUCUAUGUUUUUCAUUACAAGAAAAAUAAAAAGGUGAAAAAUAAUAUUUUUUGUUGACAAAUAAAAAGGUUUUUGAAUUAAGCGAUUCGAGCAAGUGAGUUGAACCUAACAAGCCGAAUCGAGUGGUACGCGAACUUGAGCUAAGAAAAAAGUUCGUAUCGAACUCGAGUCGAGUUUCGAGCCGAACCAAUACUUAUCGAGUCGAGCCGAGCUCAAACACGUUGGACUCGACUCGACUCAUUUUCAGUCCUAGUGGGAAGACUCUGAUAACCUACACUAUUCUCAUAAAUUAUUUGGUAAGCCGGAGAUAGAUUAAAUCUAAUAAACAAUAUCUCUUUUACCCCUUCUUACACUUCCCAUUGUAGAUGGAAAAUCCACCUAGAUAUUCCCACUUAAUCCUAAACAUUUUUAUAAACAAGAACAAAAUAGCUUGUAAAUAAAUUCAAGUCAACUUCAAUGGAACAUUUAACAUUUAGAGGACAAGAAAUACAAGACUAACUUCCCUUAUCAUUCUCUUUAAUUAGUUCAACCAUUGGAAUUCAUACCAUUUUCUAAUCAUAUCAAUUCACAUGUACUUAAAUCAUAAUUCUUAUUCCAACAUGAUUCAUCAUUUCAAAAUUUGUUACAACAAUAUUGUAAGCUAACUGGAUUGUACUUAUUAAUUGAACUCUAAACAAAUCCACAAGUAUAUAUAACACAGUAUCGUAAGUUCAAUAACGACGUCAAAAUAGUGCAAUUUGGCACAAAAUAAUACAUACAAGCAGUUAAACUCAACUAUCACACAAUCCAACAUAUUUGAGCAUGCAACAAUAUUCACGUUCUUAAAUAUAUCAUGCAUACAUUAUGAAACCCUUUUUACUUUCAUAAGUUAAUUUCAAUAUCCCAUAAUCCCAAAAUUAAUGAUAUUUGCUCUCAAAGCUUGUUUCUUCCUCCAAUUUCUAGAUUUUUCCCAAAUUCUUCUCCUUUACCUACUUGAAACCCUAGACCCUUCUUGAUUCGCCUUAUUUCAGCACUCUUUUCUAUAAAUUGGUACUAGAUUUUCCAUUUAUCAAUUGCAUGUGGCUUUUUGUUGGGAAAAAAUUUAAACUUUGAUGAGAGUAUGGUGAUGUAAAGGUAAAAGUGAUGUUGUUGUUGAGACCGAGAGUGAGGCAGAGGGAGAAGGGGAAAAAUGAUAAAAAUUCUGGUAUUCCUUUGCUUUAAUCCUUUAUAUAGGUGUGUGGACCAAUUACCCUUUUUCCCUCACUUAGAAAAUUGAUCUUCUCCUAAGAGGAAUUGCUCACUCCCACGUGAACUUCCUAAAAUGCCCCCCCAGCCAAGUCACGUAGGUACAAAGUCAACGUGACUUAAGCCAUGUUUGUUUUAGGUAAGUUAAGUUUUCAUCAAUUUUAUACAAAGAUGCUAUUUUCUGAAGACUCCAAACAUACAAUGUGUUAUGUUCAUUUUUUAAAAGCAUGUCAUGUCUUAGAAUAAACAAUAACAACAAUUCCAUCCUGAUCCAAAAUAAUUCGUAACUAAAAUUAUUUAUUUAUUUAUAAUUUAUUCUCUGUUCAAAUAAACAAAGCGUUACGUUACAUUACAUUAUUUCUAAGGAUGUUGUAUUAUCAUGAUGUUGGAUUAAAAUUAAACACAACACAAAAAAUUUAGUAUUGAAAUUUCUUAUACUUAGUGUAAAAAUUUGCUAGUCUCUUUCAAAACACAAAAGAAUGAAGAGAACACAACACAUGUAUUCUACUGAAUCAACUAUAUAAGUUAUCACAUUGAAUCCCUUCAUAUAGGAUGAGUCGUCACAAAAAGGAUUGCAUUUCAAUAUAUUAUUUUGAACUUAAUCCUACUGCUCUGUCAACUAACAAGUUUUAAUUGACAAAGGGGCAUGAUCAAACACAAACAACAUCUUAGAAAUGCAUUCCCUUUUCUUACACUCAUCCUAUACGAAGGAAUUCGAUGUGAAAACUUAUAUAGUUGAUUCGGCAGAAUACAUGUUGUGUUCUCUUCAUUCUUGUGAGUUUUGAAAGAGACUUGCAAACCUUUACGCUAACUAUCACACACUUCAAUGCCAACAUCUUCAAAAAGCUAACAAGAGUUAAACUAAAAUCCAACAAAAUAAUGGCACAACAUAAUAAUACUACCUAAACUUAAUCAUCUGGCAUAAUCAAACUCUUGAAAAUAUCUUAAGGCGAUCUCAACAAUGUAGCAUCGAUCUCAAUCCUCGGGAACAUGUUGUGUUGACCAAAUAUCGAGAACAUGCUCCUCACAUCGUCGUUCGUUAACUGCUGCCGAUUGAACGUCAAUCUCCCCUAUGAGUCAAACGAUGGACGUUCAUACCAAACAUAUUUCACCCUCCAUAUUAUUGAAAAUAGAAAGUAAAAUACACAUAUAUAUUAUAAAUUUUGUAAAAAAAAAAAUGAAAAGAAACAAUGUAAGUAAGUUUGAUCAAAUGAUAUACUACCUCCGUUCCAAAAACAUGUCGCAUUUUUGCAAUAUGCAUAUUCAUAUGAUUUAUUUUUACCGUAUAUUUUAACAAUAUAUAGAUACAAAUGUUAAUUUGUAAGAUGUUGUUCGAUUUCUCUCGAUAAAUGUAUUCAAAAAUUUAAUUUUUAUAGGUGUUACUUUAAAUAAUUAAAAAUAUUAACAGAUAAAAUUGUGUAUUGAUAUAUGUAAAAUGGUCGACGGCAAUAUGUAUUUUAAAACAGGAAAAAGGUAUUUAAACAAACUCCAAUUGAGUCAACAAAAGUUACCCUAUAUAUUACACCAUGAGACUUGGUAAGUAACUAUCCAGUCAUAUUGAGUGUACGGUUGGUAAGAUAAAGGUCAAAAUUUAACAAAUUUAAUAAAAGCUAGGAAAACAUGUUGAGGAAAAAGUGAUAAACAUGCGCACAAUAUUUUCAUACCGAAUAACUGCACGUAUAAUAAAGUGAUUGAUGCCACUUAAUAUGCAGAUCAAUAGUCAAUCAAGUUGUGGACAAUCAAUUUAAACGAAAUUCAUGGGUCUGUAUUUAAAAAUAUUUUUAGAGGAGAGCAUUAUGAACUUUUAUUUCUCUCUCUAUAUAUAUAUAUAGACACACAUAUUUGUGCAAUAUUAUAAUUUUUCUUUCUUUUGCUUAAAAGCAAAUCUACAUGAUAAUUUUGGAUGGUAGGGUAAACUUUGUAGUGGCAACUAGUAGGGACUGCCCUGACAAGAGCAAAUUGGGAAUGGAGUUGAGUUUGUCUGCUUGGUUGAGGGAGCCAACUUGGACUCACCCACCAUUUUCAAAAGCACGAUAUAACAUAAUAGCCAUUAGUUCCCAUCACAUUAAAUUAACUAUAUAUCAGUGUUUUUUUUUUCUAACUAUAUAUCAGUGUUUUUUUUUUUCUAAGAUUGUUUGAUCGUUUAAAGAAACAUAUAUGGUUGUAUACCGUCAAAACUUAGCUAAUAUGCUUUACAAUUCAGUGAUAAUGCAGUCACUUUUAAGGAUAAGAAAAAAAUAUAUAAAUUUUCAAAUUCAGGGGGCAUUUUGCACAUAAGUACAAAAUUUCAGUGAGGUAUUUGGAAAAUGUCAUGUUAACUAACAGAAAAAUUUGACGGAGGGGGUAAAUUGAUCAACGUUGUGCAAUUUCAGGGGGGUAAUUGAAGUUUUGUUAAUUUCAGAGAAUAAUUGACGAAACUUAUAAUUUCAGGGGAUAAUUGACUAUUUACUCUAAAAAAACUCUCACUUGCCAUCCUUUACUACAUCUAGUGGUCAAUGAAAGUCACUACUACCCAAUUAUUCAAAGACAAAUCAUUACCCCUCUUAGUUUUAUGAAGGCCUACCUAGUUUGUAAGUAUUGAAAACAAGAACACUAUCUCCUCAAGAAAGAAAGAAAAAAAUAUCAUAUGGUCCGUACAUAAUUAGGUGGUGAUGAUGAUUAGGGAGCACAUAUUAUUGUAAUCGACGGCCAACAUUACCAUGAAUACAAUUAUUGUAGAGUACAACUUUUUUUAAGUUCUAGUUUCUUUUCCAUUAUUAUAACCACAAAUUACAUGAAAAAUUCAAUUAAAAAAGUAAUGAUAAAUUAUUCAAGAACAUCAAAACCCAUAUCCAAAAUUAAGUGCAACCAUGAAAUCAAUAUUUUUUCGAUGAUCAGAAUCAUCGGCGAAUAGGAACACCGACGGAAAACAUCGGCUAUGGGAACACCAACGACAAAAUUCGACUAUUGGAACAUCAACGACGAAAUAAGAGACGUCGUCUGAUCUUCUCAUCUCAUCGGAAAAGAGAUUCACAUCGUUAAGGUUUCCUUUCUCAACCACUUUCGAUCUUUCAGUCCUAAACGUCAUCGAUUGAUAAUCCUUUGUUUUGUCGAUGAGAGAGGGGGUGGAAAAAAUUGCCUGGGUCCAUGGGAAUGCGUUAGAGGAUGAAGAUGAGUAGCCACAAUUUAGGAAUGAAAUAAGGGAAUAAAAUCAAGCAUGUCAGUCACUAAAAUAAGAGAUUUAAUAUUUGCCAGUGAUUUUGAUCCAGUUGAUAAAAGACCCUCUCAUCUUCAUGUAAUAAAGAGUAUGUUAAAAUAUAUUUGUAUGAGUUUGUGUUGCUUUAAUAUGUUUUUUUUUUUCUUCUUUUAAUUAAUAACUAAUAGAUGGUAAAUGUCAUCCAACAAAAUUAAGCACAUUGUUUUUGGGUGAGGCAUGUGCACGUGAUUAUGAAUGAGUAAUGACCAAACAACAUCUACACUCAAAGAUCCCUUUCACUAGUUUGUGUUCACACAUAACUACUCUUGUGUCUUGAGAUUCCUAAUUAAACCCUUUUCACACCAUUCCACUACUAUAUCGGCUGCUGCCCUACCUUCAUAAAUUCUAACCUUAAAAACUCUUGAAAAUGUGAGUACGGUAAGAAAGGAAUAAUAAAGUUCAAAUCCCAACUCGAACAAUCUCUUAUCAUUACUUAUCUCUUAAUCGAACAUCGAAUAAAUGAAUAAUUAAACAUAAUAUAUGAAACAGGAUUAGAGAAAUGCUAACAUAUGCUUUAAGAGUAUAUGUUAAAGUAUUAAGGAUAGAAAUUAUAUGUUAGAAAUUGUGUUAAUUUAUUUAUCAUAAGAUUGAAAUUUAAUAUUUCAUAAUAAAUAUCUGCUCUUCGUGGAAACCUUCACAUAUGCCCUAAUAUCAUAUGUUAGCAUGACCCUUAUGAUUAAAUCCUAUGUAAUUGGUUUUUUGUUCAACCAGAUCCUAUAGAAUCAAUUUUGUACAAACUAGUAUACAUACUAUGAUCAAUUUGUGCAUAUUACAUAACUACUAGCUUUGCCGUGGUGAGUUUAUUAGUAGGAUUUAUCUAAAGUUUUUGGACUAAAAUUAUUUGACUAUCAUUAUCAUUAGACAAUAACCAAAGAACAGCUACCACCUCUAGCAUGGGCUCCACUUUCUCCACUACUUUCCACCUAAGAAAAUAAAAUAUUCAACUCUGACUCAUUCUCCAUUCCAUGCAUCUUCAUUUUUGUCUCUCCUAUAUAUCACCCAACUCUCUUCAAUCUUUAAAAGAAAUCUCCCUCUCUCUCUCUCUCUUUGCAAAACCUAAGCAACACUCAAUUAAAAAAGUUGCAAAUAAAAAAAAACUAUUUGCAAAACCAAAAAUGGGAAACUGCAUGAAGCAUCAAAAAUACGCGACGGACGACGAGGAUGAUUGGGAUUUUCAGGCAUCAGAAGGUGACUCUCCGGCCAAAAGCAACUACACCGGUGCCAAAGCAACGACUGAGGUGAAGAUCAAGAUUACAAAGAAGCAGUUAGAAGAGUUGUUAAGCAAAGUGGACAUAAAAGAGUUGAGAGUGGAACAAGUUUUAGCCCAAUUGAUGAACCAUAGUAAUGGCUACGAAUCACUUCAAAGAUCUUGGAGACCAGCACUUCAGAGCAUCCCUGAAGCUGAUUGAGCUUGAAUUAGAUUAGUUUAGGUAUAUGAAGUUGAUGAAGAUAAGUAUUGGCUUAUUGGGUCAAUCUUGCUUUUUCAUUUCAUUGAAAGAAAAAAAAUAGGGAAUUUGAGAAUUUGUAU
Molecule: long non-coding RNA, 33161 nt
Filed under: Medicago truncatula (barrel medic)
Lineage: Eukaryota; Viridiplantae; Streptophyta; Magnoliopsida; Fabales; Fabaceae
Description: long non-coding RNA (MTRU_LNC000614)
Source: RNAcentral